Molecule: ribosomal RNA, 394 nt
Filed under: uncultured bacterium
Lineage: Bacteria
Description: partial 16S ribosomal RNA
Rfam family: Bacterial small subunit ribosomal RNA
Source: RNAcentral
AUACGGAGGAUGCAAGCGUUAUCCGGAUUUAUUGGGUUUAAAGGGUGCGUAGGCGGAUGAUUAAGCGUGAGGUGAAAUGCCACUGCUCAACAGUGGAACUGCCUCGCGAACUGGUUGUCUUGAAUGCUCCUGCCGUGGGAGGAAUGUGUGGUGUAGCGGUGAAAUGCAUAGAGAUCACACAGAACACCGAUUGCGAAGGCAUCUCACGAAGGGGUGAUUGACGCUGAGGCACGAAAGCGUGGGGAUCAAACAGGAUUAGAUACCCUGGUAGUCCACGCAGUAAACGAUGAUAACUAACCGCUGGGUCGUAGUGAUUCAGUGGCCAAGCGAAAGCGGUAAGUUAUCCACCUGGGGAGUACGACCGCAAGGUUGAAACUCAAAUGAAUUGACGGGG